RNAcentral lists this long non-coding RNA (1371 nucleotides) under Anas platyrhynchos platyrhynchos (common mallard). Its description in RNAcentral is "lncRNA (ENSAPLG00000026462.1)". The record is from RNAcentral. Lineage: Eukaryota; Metazoa; Chordata; Aves; Anseriformes; Anatidae.
CUGUAAUUAGAGGCAGCAAAUGCAAAGCACAUAUUAACUUUUCUGGUGGCUGAGCUGCCUUGCGUAUGCCUCCGUACAGAAUGCUGCUCAAAUAUAAAUUAGCCUUUGCAAAGCACACUUGGUGGAUAAAUAAAGGGGAGGAAAAGGACUCCUUGAAGUUUUGCUGUUAGGUACCAAAAGCAAGAGAGAAGGCCAUGUGUGCUGUGUUGGCAAGGAAGGCCAAUACAAGGCAAAGCGCUCACCCACGCAAGGUGAGAGGUGCUUGUGGUGUAGAUGUGACCACCUCUGUGCCCAGGAGGCAGAAGCUGUGAUGUGCUGGGCAGAAGGGGUUGCAAAUACGGAUGGAGCCCCAGCUGAACGAAAGGUCUGAGCAUUUGGGUAAUUUUGGCCAGGAGCAGUGUGACUGCGAGCAGUUCAGGUCCUGCUUGUGUCAGAGCCUGGCAGGAAAACACACAUUUCUGCUAUCUGCUUCCAGAGGCCCUAUGCAAUGCAGUGGCCAAGGACAUCCUCAGAACCCCGUGAGCAUUUCUGCUCUUCAAGUGCGGCAUGUGCAAAGGCUUUGCUCUUGGCUGUGGCCCACCUGUGCACCAAAAUGCAAGCCCCCGGGAGUAAGAAGGCUGCAGGGGUGAGCAUGAUGAGAAAUCACACCGCACCUGGCUUCUCCUCCCUAAUCUCCUGCCCAGGAGGCAGGGGAAACUCCUUGUUAAUCAGAUGUUUCCCCGAGCCAAAUGAACCCCACUUGCAUAACUCAUGCACUGGGGGUUCUGCACCACCGUGGAUGGGAUCGUGUCUGGCAGCUGAUGGCCGAGAGGACACUGUUGGGACCCCAUGGCAGCGGGACUGGGAAGGAAUUUGUCCCUUUACACCCUUCUAGCAGCUGAGUGUUUGUGGGUGGAUUGGAGGCUGCCUGCAGUGGGUGACCCCAAACCUUUCCUCAUGGGAAGAAGAAAAGAUGCAGCUCCACGUUGCCCAUGCUCACAGCUGGCCUUUGCGCUCCUGGCCCGACAUUUCCAUUCCUGUUCCCACCUCACCCUGACCCCGAGGCAGGUCUCCUUCCUUUGGGCUCGCCAGGAGUCUCAGCCUGAGCCUUUUUUUUUAAUCUCAUUGGAAAAACAUCAUAUUUACCGCUGGUGAGGUUUUUUGCAGGACAGGGCUUGUUGUGCUGGAUCUCUCCAGUUUGAAAAGGGUUUGAGUUAAAAACAAAAAGCAACCAACUUCUAAAUUAUGAAAACUACCCAGGUUUUGACACUUAAAGCAAAAUAGGAAAGUUUUGAAAUUUUUGUGGCUAUAUUCUUUGCGCUAAAACCAAGCAUUUUGUGAGCUAAAAAAUUACAGAAUAUAUUUCAAAAUGAUCAAAAUAUAUAAAUUGCU